GUGAGGAAUAUUGGUCAAUGGGCGGAAGCCUGAACCAGCCAAGUCGCGUGAGGGAAGACGGUCCUAUGGAUUGUAAACCUCUUUUGCAGGGGAGCAAGGCGCGGUACGUGUACCGCGAAGGAGAGUACCCUGAGAAAAAGCAUCGGCUAACUCCGUGCCAGCAGCCGCGGUAAUACGGAGGAUGCGAGCGUUAUCCGGAUUUAUUGGGUUUAAAGGGUGCGCAGGCGGACUGUUAAGUCAGCGGUAAAAUGUCGGUGCUCAACACCGGCCGGCCGUUGAAACUGGCAGCCUUGAGUGAGCGAGAAGUAUGCGGAAUGCGUGGUGUAGCGGUGAAAUGCAUAGAUAUCACGCAGAACUCCGAUUGCGAAGGCAGCAUACCGGCGCUCAACUGACGCUCAGGCACGAAAGCGUGGGUAUCGAACAGGCUUAGAAACCCUAGUAGUCC
RNAcentral lists this ribosomal RNA (445 nucleotides) under uncultured bacterium. Its description in RNAcentral is "bacterial SSU rRNA". It matches the Rfam family "Bacterial small subunit ribosomal RNA", at positions 354 to 796 of the family's 1533-position model. The record is from RNAcentral.